Molecule: long non-coding RNA, 872 nt
Organism: Macrobrachium nipponense
Lineage: Eukaryota; Metazoa; Arthropoda; Malacostraca; Decapoda; Palaemonidae
Exons: 2
Source: RefSeq, a predicted model, not a curated record
GUCACAGUUCAUUGUCACCUCCAGGAUGCAACUUGUCAAGGUACUGUUCGCUUCCCUGCUGAUGCUAGCGGAAUGCGGAUAUCUUCACGCUUACGGUGUGCCCGGCAAGGCGGCACCACCACCCCCACCCCCACCACCACCAGUGGCACCUAUCAUCCACCAAGAGAAAACAACCCAACUUUAUCAAGCCCCCGUCACCACAUGUGCGGGCGGCCAAGUACUCCACGUCGACGGACGCUGCGUCACACCUGCAAUCAGUCGCUCCGUCUACCUGUUCAACGUCCCGCAGCAGGCCCCAAAACUGGCCGGUCCUCCGCCCCCCGCUCCUCUGCCGAGGGUCGACCAUAACAUCAUUUUCGUCCGCGUGCCAGAGGACCAGAGAGGCCCGGAACCCAUCGUGGUCCCUCCUCCCCAGCAGAAGAACAUCGUCUACGUCCUGAAGAAGAAGACAGAACUCAGUGGCCCCAAAGUCAUUGAGGCUCCAGCGCCUCCCAAGACAAACCCGGACGUCUACUUCGUGGGUUACGAUCAGGGCGAGAACCCCAUUCUUCCCACGGGCGAAGACCUGGCCAGCGUUCUCGCCCAGGGCGGCCAGGAGACUCAGGCCAAGGUGGUGGACAGCGGGCCGUCAGGAGGCCAGGCUGGAAGUAGUAGUAUUGGCGCAGCAGCCGGUCCCGUCAAGGAAGUCGCCAGUCAAGUGGGCAGUCUUCUUCCACCUCUUCCAGUCGCUGGCUUCGGGUCACAGGGGGGUCCUGGAAGCGCUGGGACAUCGCAGGGAAGUGCAGCUGGAGCUGCAUCGCUGGGAGCUGGAACCAUUAACAAGGGAAGCAGUAUUGGUGGAGCUGGUGCCUCGACAAGCGCUCCAGUGGCUC